This 3719-nucleotide long non-coding RNA is filed under the name Homo sapiens (human). RNAcentral's name for it is "non-protein coding lnc-ZNF550-1:2". The record is from RNAcentral. Lineage: Eukaryota; Metazoa; Chordata; Mammalia; Primates; Hominidae.
GGGACUUCCGGCCUCGCUGGCGUGGACGUUUGUGGUGGGGCGUGUUGGUCCGCGCUCUCAGAACUGUGCUGGGAAGGAUGGUAGGGCGACUGGGGCUCACCUCCGCACCGUUGUAGGACCCGGGGUAGGGUUUUGAGCCCGUGGGAGCUGCCCCACGCGGCCUCGUCCUGCCAACGGUCGGAUGGCGGAGACGAAGGACGCAGCGCAGAUGUUGGUGACCUUCAAGGAUGUGGCUGUGACCUUUACCCGGGAGGAGUGGAGACAGCUGGACCUGGCCCAGAGGACCCUGUACCGAGAGGUGAUGCUGGAGACCUGUGGGCUUCUGGUUUCACUAGGGCAUCGGGUUCCCAAACCAGAGUUGGUCCACCUGCUAGAGCAUGGGCAGGAGCUGUGGAUAGUGAAGAGAGGCCUCUCACAUGCUACCUGUGCAGGUGACAGAGCACAAGUUCAUACCAGAGAGCCAACCACUUACCCGCCAGUCUUAUCUGAGCGGGCCUUUCUCCGGGGAAGCCUGACUCUGGAAUCUUCAACCUCAAGUGAUUCGAGGUUGGGGAGAGCUAGGGAUGAGGAAGGGCUUUUGGAAAUGCAGAAAGGUAAAGUGACACCGGAGACAGACCUCCACAAGGAGACCCAUCUUGGGAAAGUGAGCCUUGAAGGUGAAGGUUUGGGGACAGAUGAUGGUCUGCACUCCAGGGCAUUACAAGAGUGGUUAUCAGCAGAUGUUCUCCAUGAAUGUGACUCACAGCAACCAGGGAAAGACGCCUUGAUUCAUGCAGGGACAAACCCCUACAAAUGCAAGCAGUGUGGGAAAGGUUUUAACAGGAAGUGGUAUCUCGUUCGACAUCAGAGGGUUCACACUGGAAUGAAACCCUAUGAAUGCAAUGCAUGUGGGAAAGCCUUUAGCCAGAGCUCAACUCUCAUUCGGCACUACCUCAUCCACACCGGGGAGAAACCAUACAAGUGCCUUGAGUGUGGGAAGGCCUUCAAACGCAGGUCGUACCUCAUGCAGCACCAUCCAAUCCACACUGGAGAGAAACCCUAUGAGUGUAGUCAAUGUCGAAAGGCCUUCACCCACCGGUCUACUUUUAUUCGCCAUAAUAGGACCCACACUGGAGAAAAGCCCUUUGAGUGCAAAGAAUGUGAGAAAGCCUUUAGCAAUAGAGCCCACCUAAUUCAACAUUACAUCAUCCACACUGGAGAGAAGCCCUAUGAUUGCAUGGCAUGUGGAAAGGCCUUCAGAUGCAGCUCAGAACUCAUACAGCACCAGCGGAUUCACACUGGGGAGAAGCCCUAUGAAUGCACCCAGUGUGGGAAAGCCUUUCACCGGAGCACGUACCUCAUUCAGCACUCUGUCAUCCACACUGGGGAGAUGCCCUACAAGUGUAUCGAGUGUGGGAAGGCCUUCAAACGCAGGUCACACCUUCUGCAGCACCAAAGGGUCCAUACAUGAGAGAACCCUAUUGCUGCAAUGAAUACAGCAAGGCCUUUACCCACUGUUAUUUUAUCAUUCAUAAUGGGACCCACACUGUAGGAAGAAGUCCUUCGAAUGCAAAGAAUGUCAGGAAACUUUUCAUUUUUUUUGUCAGCUCUUUCUUAACUAACACAUGAGCAGUCACUUUGGAGAGAAGCCCUGUGAAUACAGUGAAUGUAAGGAUCCCUUCAGUCACCACUCAGUUCUCACUCAUUGCAGAAGGAUUCAUACCAGGGGGAAAUGUGGAAGGCAUUCCAUCAACAUCAGAGAACUCAUGCUGGAGAAAGACAUUCCAAAUAUAACUAUUAAGGACAGUCUUUGGCCAGAGCAGAAAUCUUACUAUCUGAGAAUCAUAAUGAAAAGUUACUACAUAAUUGUUAUUGAUGUGAGAAAACUUUGUGACCAGGUUGUCACUUGCUUGUCCUAUAAAGAGCCAUGCUGGAAUUUGACCCACCUUGGGAUUUUCUCUAUGAACUUAUGAAAACCUUCAGUUACAGGACAGAGUGCACAGUUUCCUCUCCUGUGGGAAGGAGAGUUGACUCUUGAGGACCCCCACCCUCCUGCAUCCUCUCUCUGGAAGGCUGCAUGUAUUGUAGCUGUGGCUGUACUUGUACCUAAGGCCCUGGGUUCAAGAGAGUUGGAGAAACCCCUCUAGAAACAUAUUGGCUGUCAUCAAAGGGUUCUUUCCAGGCCUGAGGACCUAGGCCCCAGUUUGUCCCAAAGCAGGAGUGUUUUCCAUGGGAUAAAGGACACCCUAGGUUUUUCUUAGCUUCCAGCUCUUUCCAUACAGUCUUCACUGAAGUGUUUGGUACAAGGAUCUACUAUGAACUUGCUGCUGUGAUAGAAAAACUGCUUAAGGUUGAAAAGAGAAAUUUAAGAAAUUGCUGACGGAAUAAAAACAUAAUAGAACUACAACACCGAAGGAAAUGAAAGAAGCAAGAAGGAAAGCACCAGAAGUGAUUUGGAAGAGAAAUCCUAAAAUGAAUGUGAACAACAGAGUGAUCAGAAGAGUGUAGGGAAUUAAUAGUUUCUUUAAACAAGCCAUCUCACAAUGGAAGCCUGUGUGUCUUGAAAUUGCUGUGGUUAUUAUUCACUCUGCCCUUUGAAGAACUGCAGAAAUUCAUAGGGCAAUGUUAAGUGUUUGUGUCUCCAAAAAAGAUGUUGGAGUCGUUACCCUCAGAACCUCAGGUAAUCAUGUUAGUUAAUCCAUUAGGUUAGUUCCUAAUUGACUAUGACUGUGUCCUUAGAAAAAUGGGAAAUUUGGUCACAGAGGCAGAUGUACAGAGGGAAGACGAUGUGAAGACACAGGAAGAACAUCUUCAAGCCAAGGAACACACGGGGCUACCAGAAGCCGAGAUAGAAGCAUGGAACAUAUGUUCUAGUAAGAAGUGUCUGGGUUGUUUUGGUUUUUUUUCUUUGGAGUUUUUGUGGUAUUAAAUUAUUUUUAAAUUAUGUUUUAUUGUAGACCUCACAAUUCUUUUUUUUUCUUUUUCACUCAAACUACAGCAAAAUAUUAUAUUUCUAUCCUAUAUUUCAUGGGCUUACCUCUAGCCAAUUGUUUUUAACUGCCAUGUAAUAUUUUACAUCAUGAAGCUUUCAUCCUUGAUUCAAAUCCUCUGAUUAUGGACAUGUAUUUCCUCCAUUUUCCUGCUAUGAAAUAUAUCACCACCAGCUUGAUUCAACCUUAAAAAUAAGGUCAUCAGUAUUAUGUUCUAAAUAAACUUAUGGCCAUACAUGAGAAAUGUACCUUGCAGCUGAAUGGCUAGGUCAUAUGGUGAUCUAGUAUGUAACUGGAAUUAUGUUAUACAUUGCCCUUCCUCUCCCAUAAGAUGGACAAAAGUGUUUCUGUAUCACUGUGUCCCAGACAAUAUUUAGAAUUACCCAGCUUUCCAGUUUUUACUUUAGAAGUUUAAAGUGAUAUAGAAUAUAUCUGGUAUUUCUCAUAUUGAAAUACAUUUGAACAUUAGUUCAUAUCCUUUCAUUGCCUUUUGUUUUUCCUCUUCUGUCAAUGGUCUACUCAUAUGUUGGCCUGUCUUUAUUUGUAUCUUGACUUUUUAUUGUGUAUUUUGUUUAUGGUGGGGUACUUUAUUGGUGAUUAAUACGAUUUUCAAGUAUAUUAUAUGGGCUAGUCCCUUGAUACUAUUGACACUGUAUUUAUCUUCAGUCUCUUGUUGGUAUCUAACUUUGGUUCUGAAGUUUAUGGAAUGGAAGUAUUUAAUUGGAAAGAUUAAACAUAUUGAUUUUAAUU